RNAcentral lists this ribosomal RNA (468 nucleotides) under uncultured bacterium. RNAcentral's name for it is "partial 16S ribosomal RNA". It matches the Rfam family "Bacterial small subunit ribosomal RNA", at positions 28 to 507 of the family's 1533-position model. The record is from RNAcentral.
GACGAACGCUGGCGGCGUGCUUAACACAUGCAAGUCGAACGGAAAGGCCCUGCUUUUGUGGGGUGCUCGAGUGGCGAACGGGUGAGUAACACGUGAGUAACCUGCCCUUGACUUUGGGAUAACUUCAGGAAACUGGGGCUAAUACCGGAUAGGAGCUCCUGCUGCAUGGUGGGGGUUGGAAAGUUUCGGCGGUUGGGGAUGGACUCGCGGCUUAUCAGCUUGUUGGUGGGGUAGUGGCUUACCAAGGCUUCGACGGGUAGCCGGCCUGAGAGGGUGACCGGCCACAUUGGGACUGCGAUACGGACCAGAAUCCUACGGGAGGCAGCAGUGGGGAAUAUUGCACAAUGGGCGGAAGCCUGAUGCAGCAACGCCGCGUGCGGGAUGACGGCCUUCGGGUUGUAAACCGCUUUCGCCUGUGACGAAGCGUGAGUGACGGUAAUGGGUAAAAAAGCCCCGGCUAACUACGUG